GGAAGUGUUUGCACACCUGGUGGUGGCCUCGGUCUUCAAAACCGCUGGGCCGUAUGGAGACAUGCGGUCGGUGGGUUCGAUUCCCAUACACUUCCGCCA
This 99-nucleotide transfer RNA is filed under the name Pirellulaceae bacterium. Its description in RNAcentral is "tRNA-Sec". It matches the Rfam family "Selenocysteine transfer RNA". The record is from RNAcentral. Lineage: Bacteria; Pseudomonadati; Planctomycetota; Planctomycetia; Pirellulales; Pirellulaceae.